Molecule: ribosomal RNA, 865 nt
Filed under: uncultured bacterium
Lineage: Bacteria
Description: bacterial SSU rRNA
Rfam family: Bacterial small subunit ribosomal RNA
Source: RNAcentral
AGAGUUUGAUCCUGGCUCAGGAUGAACGCUAGCGGCAGGCUUAACACAUGCAAGUCGAGGGGUAUAGAGAGCUUGCUUUCUAGAGACCGGCGCACGGGUGCGUAACGCGUAUGCAAUCUACCUUUUACAGAGGGAUAGCCCAGAGAAAUUUGGAUUAAUACCUCAUAGCAUAGCAGCUUCGCAUGAAGCCACUAUUAAAGUCACAACGGUAAAAGAUGAGCAUGCGUCCCAUUAGUUAGUUGGUAAGGUAACGGCUUACCAAGACUACGAUGGGUAGGGGUCCUGAGAGGGAGAUCCCCCACACUGGUACUGAGACACGGACCAGACUCCUACGGGAGGCAGCAGUGAGGAAUAUUGGACAAUGGGCGCAAGCCUGAUCCAGCCAUGCCGCGUGCAGGAUGACGGUCCUAUGGAUUGUAAACUGCUUUUAUACGAGAAGAAACACUCCUUCGUGAAGGAGCUUGACGGUAUCGUAAGAAUAAGGAUCGGCUAACUCCGUGCCAGCAGCCGCGGUAAUACGGAGGAUCCAAGCGUUAUCCGGAAUCAUUGGGUUUAAAGGGUCCGUAGGCGGUUUAGUAAGUCAGUGGUGAAAGCCCAUCGCUCAACGGUGGAACGGCCAUUGAUACUGCUAAACUUGAAUUAUUAGGAAGUAACUAGAAUAUGUAGUGUAGCGGUGAAAUGCUUAGAGAUUACAUGGAAUACCAAUUGCGAAGGCAGGUUACUACUAAUGGAUUGACGCUGAUGGACGAAAGCGUGGGUAGCGAACAGGAUUAGAUACCCUGGUAGUCCACGCCGUAAANCGAUGGAUACUAGCUGUUGGGAGCAAUUCUCAGUGGCUAAGCGAAAGUGAUAAGUUCCCCCCCUG